This 630-nucleotide ribosomal RNA is filed under the name uncultured eukaryote. RNAcentral describes it as "SSU rRNA". It matches the Rfam family "Eukaryotic small subunit ribosomal RNA", at positions 610 to 1257 of the family's 1831-position model. The record is from RNAcentral.
UUGUUGCAGUUAAAAAGCUCGUAGUUGGACUUUAGGCAAGGCGGCCUGGUCACCCUCUGGGUGUACUGGGAUCGCUGCGCCUCACCUUCGGGGAGCUAGUCGUGCUUCGGUGCGCUAGGGAACCGAGCCUUACCUUGAGGAAAUUAGAGUGUUUAAAGCAGGCUUAUGCUUGAAUACGUUAGCAUGGAAUAACAUGAUAGGACUUUGGUUCUAUUUUGUUGGUUUGAGGACCAAAGUAAUGAUUAAUAGGGACAGUUGGGGGCAUUAGUAUUCAAUAGUCAGAGGUGAAAUUCUUGGAUUUAUUGAAGACUAACUAAUGCGAAAGCAUUUGCCAAGGAUGUUUUCAUUAAUCAAGAACGAAAGUUAGGGGAUCGAAGACGAUUAGAUACCGUCGUAGUCUUAACCAUAAACUAUGCCGACUAGGGAUCGGUGGAGGUCGAUUUUGACUCCAUCGGCACCUUACGAGAAAUCAAAGUUUUUGGGUUCUGGGGGGAGUAUGGUCGCAAGGCUGAAACUUAAAGGAAUUGACGGAAGGGCACCACCAGGAGUGGAGCCUGCGGCUUAAUUUGACUCAACACGGGAAAACUCACCAGGUCCGGACAUGGGGAAGGAUUGACAGAUUGAGAGCUC